GGCCGACUAGCUCAGCUGGUUAGAGCGUCGUGCUAAUACUCUUUGAGUCUUGACGCGAAGGUCUUGGGUUCGAUCCCCACGUUGGCCA
This is a non-coding RNA of Mucidula mucida, 88 nucleotides long. Lineage: Eukaryota; Fungi; Basidiomycota; Agaricomycetes; Agaricales; Physalacriaceae. The record is from the annotation of a GenBank genome assembly.